Molecule: small nuclear RNA, 102 nt
Organism: Sarcophilus harrisii (Tasmanian devil)
Lineage: Eukaryota; Metazoa; Chordata; Mammalia; Dasyuromorphia; Dasyuridae
Source: Ensembl
GUGCUUAUUUCAGAAGCAUAAAUACUAAAAUGAGAACAUCACAGAAAUGAGCAUGGCCUCUGCUAGCAUGGCAUGAAGAUUUUUGAAGUGAUAUAUAUUUUU